UUUUUUUAUGCUAGGGUAGCUAGAUGUGUGUUUUAAUGCUAGGGUAGCUAGAUGUGUGUUUUAAUGCUAGGGUAGCUGUGUGUUUUUUAAUGCUAGGGUAGCUAGAUGUGUUUUUUUAUGGUAGGGUAGCUAGAUAUGUGGUUUUUAUGGUAGGGUAGCUAGAUGUGUUUUUUUAUGGUAGGGUAGCUAGCUGUGGUUUUUUAUGGUAGGGUAGCUAGAUGUGGGUUUUUAUGGUAGGGUAGCUAGAUGUGGUUUUUAUGGUAGGGUAGCUAGAUGUGGUUUUUUAUGGUAGGGUAGCUAGAUGUGUUUUUUUAUGGUAGGGUAGCUAGAUGUGGGUAGCUAUGGUAGGGUAGCUAGAUGUGGUUUUUUAUGGUAGGGUAGCUAGAUGUGGUUUUUUAUGGUAGGGUAGCUAGAUGUGGUUUUUAUGGUAGGGUAGCUAGAUGUGGUUUUUUAUGGUAGGGUAGCUAGAUGUGGUUUUUUAUGGUAGGGUAGCUAGAUGUGGUUU
Long non-coding RNA from Oncorhynchus tshawytscha (Chinook salmon), 505 nucleotides. The record is from Ensembl. Lineage: Eukaryota; Metazoa; Chordata; Actinopteri; Salmoniformes; Salmonidae.